This is a long non-coding RNA of Numida meleagris (helmeted guineafowl), 2902 nucleotides long. RefSeq lists it as uncharacterized. The record is from RefSeq and is a predicted model, not a curated record. The transcript has 3 exons. NCBI's taxonomy places the organism in Eukaryota, Metazoa, Chordata, Aves, Galliformes, Numididae.
GAGGUGUUCAAGGCCCCAUCCUCAAGGUUGGAUGGGGCCCUGGGCAGCCCGAUCUGGUGGGAGGCAACCCUGUCCACAGUAGGAGAUUGUCCAGUGCACUUCAUAUACUCCUUAUACUCUUUGUAUACUAACAUACUUCAUAUACACCCCAGGAAGCCACUGCAGGGACCUCUGAUAGAUCCUGUGUUAGGUGUGGCAGCUCUGUGGCAUGGGGGAAUGAAGCCAAACCUGGAAAAAGGGGGUGUGGUGAGAAGAAAGCGUUUCAUUAAUUUUUGUUUCUUACUAUUCAAGCCUAUUUUAUCUGGAAAAAAAAAUAUUUUUCCCAACUCGAGCCUGUUUUGCCCAUGACAAUAACUUGUAACCAUUCUUCCUGUCAGAAUCCCAACCCACGAGCAUUUUCAUACAACUAACCCCUGACCUGCUGAGGAGGGACAGUGACUGAGUGACUGGUGGGCAUCUCGCAUCUGGCUGAGGCCACCUCACUGCAGCUCAUCAUGCACUGCAGUAAUGCUGUUUGGAGACAGUCAUGUAUCAUCUUCUAAUGUAUCACACUCAGAUUGGGAAAGAAGUUACGAGGUACAAAGAAAGAUCAAAACACCCCUUUCAGACAGAUUAUUUGUUGAAGUGCACAGUAGGAGUAACGGAGUCAAAGGCAUGAAGGAACUGUGGUAUUCUGAGAAUCAAUAAGCAGACUGCACUGCGGUAUAUACUAUGUACAAAAAAACCCGCCACAGUGGAAACGUUUACAAGUGACAUGCAGAAGCUAAAGCUGCCUGGAGGAAUGUCAGAAAAAGACUCCAAACAUGGGGUCCUCUUUGAAGCAGUGUGUUUGGUCUGAUCUGACACUUCCAGGGUAUUCUCAUGGAACUACUUGCCAGGUAUUUUUUCUCUCUUCUUCAUAUAGGUUGUUAAACAAAAUAGUGCUAAGAUGCUACCUAGGACAGCUUGGCUGUCAUCUAGAUAGCUAGUGAUGUUUAUGAGAACUUUGACCUAAGGUCUGCAGCAUUUAUAUCUGAGUUAUAAGUGAGUUAUAGUGAGUUAUAGUUAUUAGUGAGAACUACUGGUGACAGGUAGACGGUUGGACUGGAUGAUCUUGUAGGUCUUUUCCAACCUUGGUGAUUCUAUGAUUCUAUGAUUCUAAGAUAAGCAGAAGUAUUAUUACCAUUUAUAUAAGUGAUUCUACACAUCAAUUCUAGCAUGUAGAUGAUUGGGGGAGAGGAUAUUAUUUUACACCGCUACCUCUUCUGUAAUUAUGAGGAGGCCAAACACAAUUGACUGGGGGCCAGUUGUCUGAGAUACUGUAUAAACAGGAUGAAAACAUCGUUAACAGCUGAAAUAUUUUACAACACAAAGCUAAGAGGUAACAGUGCAAUAAAACUCUCAGAAAAAUAGGAAGCAAAGGUUAGGAUGGUUGCAUUAAGAAGCUGGUGUUCAGGAUCCCUAAGCACUGUGGAGACUUUAGGAAAAACCUCAGUAGAAAUGGUUAAGCCAAAAUGUGAAGAUGGACGAUAUAAUAGGUGGUGGAAUUUGUGCUGGGAUUGUCUAAUACUUCAAGAUUGUAUGAGGGAACUUGGGAAGAUGGUGGUCAUAUUUCUCAGCUUACGUACGUGUACUUAUGCAAAGCGUCCAACAUCUAAAGUGUUUCCAUGUGCUGUACUGUGGGAGCAAAUAGCUCAGUGAAAGCACUGACCAAUGUUUAUCCAUCUUUGUGACCAUGAUUUUCAAUCUGUGUUAACUUUGAACUGUUUGAACUAACUUGAUAGCAAUAUGGUAUCAGCAGUCUGCUUUGUAGCCAUAGUAAGUGCAACUAAGAGAAGGAAGCGAUUUCUUCCUUGAAUAUUCUGGGCUCUUAAAAAACUAAUAUCUUCCUUACUAUCAUACAGUAUUCUACUUACUACUAAAUAAAAAUUGGAUCUUUUCACAUAAGGACUGGAUAACUAUCUAAUGAUUUGUAAAAUUAUUUUAAGGGGAACUCAAAUUGAUCAGGUUUUAUUUGCAAACCUAAGGCACAUUUAAGUGUAUUGUGCUGUUAUUAGUGCUUUCUCAGCAUUUAGCUUACAGGAAUGCUGCUCAGAUUAUUACCUACCCUCUCAUUUUCAGGAGAUAUAGCCUUGACUUGGAAUUCCUAUUUCUGGCUUCAAAAGUAGGAAUGGAAGCAAGAAUGUGGUUAGAAAUGAAAAGCUACACCAUUUCUUCACCACAUUCUGAUUCUUUCCUAACUCUUCUAUCACUCUUUCCAUCCAUAUUCAUAGAAUCAUAGAAUCAUUUAGGUUGGAAAAGACCUCAAGAUCAUCUAGUCCAAUUAGCAACCCAUCACAAUCAUUCCCACUAAACCAUGUCCCUCAGGGCCACAUCUACAUGUUUCAGAAGGAAGCUUGUGGCAAAAUUUUUUUCAGUAAUCCCAACUGAUGACAAAACCAUUGUUCUCAUAGAUGCCAGCUGUUCAUUAAGUAAUGUCAGUUCACACAGCAUGUUUCCCCAAUUAUUACAUGAAUGCAACAGUAUUGGGAGCUUUAAAGUAACAAUAGACAGUCUUUAAUGUAUUUUGCAAUAAUUUUUCUUUUCAUCUUCAUCUUGUAGUCAUAACUGUCAUGAGAAAGAAAUACGCUACUAGUCAUAAAUAGUAUGAAUCCUCGUUCCAUUUGCAUGAAUUCACACAAAUGAAUGUUUCCUGGGAAUGUGCAACGGGUUUGUAAACUAAGGCAAUUUUCCCCGUGGUCUUGUGUUCCAGAUCUCACAAAUUUUUCCUUAAAAGAAGGCAAGCAGUUGAUAAUUCACCUCUCUGUAGUAACCGUAGCACACAUAUUAUUUUGAUUCUCUUCUCUACAGCUCCUCUUAGUCUAAACAGACAUUUUGUAGAUAUUUGUGCAAUGGCUUAACCUCACUUUUUCUAAUUUAAUUG